CGCUGGGAAACCGGCGCUAAUACCGCAUAUUCCCGAGAGGGGAAAGCAGCAAUGCGCUCGAGGAGGAGUCCGCGGCCGAUUAGCUAGUUGGUAGGGUAAAAGCCUACCAAGGCUAUGAUCGGUAGCCGGCCUGAGAGGGCACACGGCCACAUUGGCACUGAAACACGGGCCAGACUCCUACGGGAGGCAGCAGUGGGGAAUCUUGCGCAAUGGGGGAAACCCUGAUGCAGCGGCGCCGCGUGAGCGAUGAAGCCCUUCGGGGUGUAAAGCUCUUUCGGCAGGGAAGAUUAUGACGGUACCUGCAGAAGCAGCUGCGGCUAACUACGUGCCAGCAGCCGCGGUAAUACGUAGGCAGCAAGCGUUGUUCGGAGUUACUGGGCGUAAAGGGUGUGUAGGUGGCCUGUUAAGUUCCGUGUGAAAUCUCCCGGCUCAACCGGGAGGGUGCGCGGAAAACUGGCGAGCUAGAGUACGGGAUGGGAGAGUAGAAUUCCUGGUGUAGCGGUGAAAUGCGUAGAUAUCAGGAGGAAUACCGGUGGUGUAGACGGCUCUCUGGACCGUAACUGACACUGAGACACGAAAGCGUGGGUAGCAAACAGGAUUAGAUACCCUGGUAGUCCACGCCCUAGACGAUGCAUAUUUGGUGUAGGCAGUUCAUUCUGUCUGUGCCGGAGCUAACGCGUUAAAUAUGCCGCCUGGGGAGUACAGUCGCAAGGCUGAAACUCAAAGGAAUUGACGGAAUCGAAUU
Molecule: ribosomal RNA, 745 nt
Filed under: uncultured bacterium
Lineage: Bacteria
Description: bacterial SSU rRNA
Rfam family: Bacterial small subunit ribosomal RNA
Source: RNAcentral